This 72-nucleotide transfer RNA is filed under the name Apilactobacillus ozensis. RNAcentral's name for it is "tRNA-Arg". It matches the Rfam family "tRNA". From Rfam's summary of the family: Transfer RNA (tRNA) molecules are approximately 80 nucleotides in length. Their secondary structure includes four short double-helical elements and three loops (D, anti-codon, and T loops). Further hydrogen bonds mediate the characteristic L-shaped molecular structure. tRNAs have two regions of fundamental functional importance: the anti-codon, which is responsible for specific mRNA codon recognition, and the 3' end, to which the tRNAs corresponding amino acid is attached (by aminoacyl-tRNA synthetases). tRNAs cope with the degeneracy of the genetic code in two manners: having more than one tRNA (with a specific anti-codon) for a particular amino acid; and 'wobble' base-pairing, i.e. permitting non-standard base-pairing at the 3rd anti-codon position. RNAcentral also lists the same sequence under 2 other names. Lineage: Bacteria; Bacillati; Bacillota; Bacilli; Lactobacillales; Lactobacillaceae. The record is from RNAcentral.
GCACUUGUAGUGUAACGGAUAGCACAUAAGAUUCCGGUUCUUAUAAUGAGAGUUCGAUUCUCUCCAAGUGCA